GGAAUUUUGCGCAAUGGGCGCAAGCCUGACGCAGCAACGCCGCGUGGAGGAAGAAGGCCCUCGGGUCGUAAACUCCUGUCCUUGGGGAAGAUGGUGACGGUACCCUUGGAGGAAGCCCCGGCUAACUUCGCGCAAGCAGCCGCGGUAAUACGAAGGGGGCUAGCGUUGUUCGGAUUUACUGGGCGUAAAGCGCACGUAGGCGGACUAUUAAGUCAGGGGUGAAAUCCCGGGGCUCAACCCCGGAACUGCCUUUGAUACUGGUAGUCUUGAGUUCGAGAGAGGUGAGUGGAAUUCCGAGUGUAGAGGUGAAAUUCGUAGAUAUUCGGAGGAACACCAGUGGCGAAGGCGGCUCACUGGCUCGAUACUGACGCUGAGGUGCGAAAGCGUGGGGAGCAAAC
This 398-nucleotide ribosomal RNA is filed under the name uncultured bacterium. Its description in RNAcentral is "bacterial SSU rRNA". It matches the Rfam family "Bacterial small subunit ribosomal RNA", at positions 358 to 773 of the family's 1533-position model. The record is from RNAcentral.